ACUGCUAUUUGGGUGAGGAUAAGCCAUGCGAGUUGGAUGGGAUACCCAAAGUUCCCAUAGCAAACUGCUUAGUAACACAUGAUCAACUUGCCCUAUGGAGAAAACUAACCUCGGGAAACUGAGGAUAAUGUUUCAUAGUUGAAUAGGCUUGGAAAAGUUUUUCAAUGAAAGGAAUAAGAUAAAUGGUUCUUAUUUGCCAUAGGAUAGGAUCGUGGUCGAUUGUGGUAGUUGGUGAGAUAACGGCUCACCAAGCCGAUAAUCGAUAGGGGCCGUGAGAGCGGGAGCCCCAAGAUGGGUACUGAGACAGCACCCAGGCCUUACGAGGCGCAGCAGGCGCGAGACCUCCGCAAUACACGAAAGUGUGACGGGGUUACCCAAAGUGUUCUCUUAAGAACUGUGGCAGGUGAGUAAUGUCCCCUGCUAGAAAGGAGAGGGCAAGGCUGGUGCCAGCCGCCGCGGUAAAACCAGCUCUUCAAGUGGUCGGGAUAAUUAUUGGGCUUAAAGUGUCCGUAGCCGGUUUAGUAAGUUCCUGGUAAAAUCGGGUAGCUUAACUAUCUGCAUGCUAGGAAUACUGCUAUACUAGAGGGCGGGAGAGGUCUGAGGUACUACAGGGGUAGGGGUGAAAUCUUAUAAUCCUUGUAGGACCACCAGUGGCGAAGGCGUCAGACUGGAACGCGCCUGACGGUGAGGGACGAAAGCCAGGGGAGCGAACCGGAUUAGAUACCCGGGUAGUCCUGGCCGUAAACGAUGCAUACUAGGUGAUGGUACGGCCAUGAGCCGUAUCAGUGCCGUAGGGAAACCGUUAAGUGUGCCGCCUGGGAAGUACGGUCGCAAGGCUAAAACUUAAAGGAAUUGGCGGGGGAGCACCACAAGGGGUGAAGCCUGCGGUUCAAUUGGACUCAACGCCGGGAAACUUACCAGGGGAGACAGCAGAAUGAGGGUCAGGUUGACGACCUUACCUGAUGAGCUGAGAGGAGGUGCAUGGCCGUCCCCAGUUCGUGCUGUGAGGUAUCCUGUUAAGUCAGGCAACGAACGAGAUCCGCACCUUUAUUUGCCGACAAGAAGUUACGACUUCGUUGGGAACACUAAAGGGACCGCCGUCGAUAAGACGGAGGAAGGAGCGGGCAAAGGCAGGUCAGUAUGCCCCGAAACCCCUGGGCUACACGCGGGCUGCAAUGGUAUGAACAAUGGGCUGUAACUCCGAAAGGAGAAACCAAUCCCGAAAUCAUAUCACAGUGGGGAUUGUUGGCUGUAACCCGCCGACAUGAACGUGGAAUCCCUAGUAAUCGUGUGUCAUCAUCGCACGGUGAAUACGUCUCUGCUCCUUGCACACACCGCCCGUCGCUCCAUCCGAGUGUACUAAAAAUGAGGUUUGGUCAGACUGGUCAUAUCGAGUUUCUAGUAUGCGAGGAGGGAGAAGUCGUAACAAGGUA
This 1433-nucleotide ribosomal RNA is filed under the name metagenome. RNAcentral's name for it is "bacterial SSU rRNA". It matches the Rfam family "Archaeal small subunit ribosomal RNA". The record is from RNAcentral.